This 207-nucleotide ribosomal RNA is filed under the name uncultured bacterium. RNAcentral's name for it is "partial 16S ribosomal RNA". It matches the Rfam family "Bacterial small subunit ribosomal RNA", at positions 568 to 774 of the family's 1533-position model. The record is from RNAcentral.
CGCGUAGGUGGCUCAGUCAGUCGGUCGUGAAAUCCCCCGGCUUAACCGGGGAAGUGCGUCCGAUACUGCUGGGCUUGAGUGCAGGAGGGGAGAGUGGAAUUCCUGGUGGAGCGGUGAAAUGCGUAGAUAUCAGGAGGAACGCCGGUGGCGAAAGCGACUCUCUGGCCUGCUACUGACACUGAGGCGCGAAAGCCAGGGGAGCGAACG